Molecule: ribosomal RNA, 465 nt
Filed under: Vreelandella stevensii
Lineage: Bacteria; Pseudomonadati; Pseudomonadota; Gammaproteobacteria; Oceanospirillales; Halomonadaceae
Description: partial 16S ribosomal RNA
Rfam family: Bacterial small subunit ribosomal RNA
Source: RNAcentral
CCUACGGGGGGCUGCAGUGGGGAAUAUUGGACAAUGGGGGCAACCCUGAUCCAGCCAUGCCGCGUGUGUGAAGAAGGCCCUCGGGUUGUAAAGCACUUUCAGUGAGGAAGAACGCCUGGUGGUUAAUACCCAUCAGGAAAGACAUCACUCACAGAAGAAGCACCGGCUAACUCCGUGCCAGCAGCCGCGGUAAUACGGAGGGUGCGAGCGUUAAUCGGAAUUACUGGGCGUAAAGCGCGCGUAGGUGGCUUGAUAAGCCGGUUGUGAAAGCCCCGGGCUCAACCUGGGAACGGCAUCCGGAACUGUCAAGCUAGAGUGCAGGAGAGGAAGGUAGAAUUCCCGGUGUAGCGGUGAAAUGCGUAGAGAUCGGGAGGAAUACCAGUGGCGAAGGCGGCCUUCUGGACCGACACUGACACUGAGGUGCGAAAGCGUGGGUAGCAAACAGGAUUAGAUACCCGGGUAGUC